UGUCUGCAGACGUGUCGGGCUUAAUAUUUCCUUGUUCCAAUGCUCUCCGGAGCCGGGCUUGGUACAUCGCUAGACGGGCGUGAUCAUCUCGCGUCAGAUGAACCCGAAGUCUUGCUGCCCUCGCCCACCUGAACCCUGGUUCAGGAUGCGGGUCCGGCACACCAUCUGCAGACAC
RNAcentral lists this non-coding RNA (175 nucleotides) under Variovorax sp. OK605. RNAcentral also lists the same sequence under 2 other names. The record is from RNAcentral. Lineage: Bacteria; Pseudomonadati; Pseudomonadota; Betaproteobacteria; Burkholderiales; Comamonadaceae.